AAGUCAGUGACGUUGAGUUUACACGACUGUACAUGAAGCGCAUACAGCCGUUAACAGCGGUGUAGAAUGUGCUUCCUUUAGGAUCCUUGUGAUAAAGACCAUCAUGAAAUUUACUGCUAGUCUGUUGAGAAGAGCUUGCAGGGAGUGUCAGUGGCCUAGUUGGAUACUAUCCGAUGUUUUCUCUGGGGAGGAUGGGCUGAAUAAAAUCUUAAAGAGUUCAGCAAGGAUAGUAAGUGCCCCAGAUAGUAUUCAAGUCAGUCACCUCCUCAAUACAAAUCAGAACAUUAUUGCAAGAGCCAACUUGCUUGGUCAAGUGACAGAUUGAUAACUUCAUGGUCAGAUUAAUAUUUUUUUCAAUGAAAACAACAUACAUCCGUUGCUUACACUCCUUAAUGCUGUUAAGAAAACUUGACCAGUUUAUUACCAUAUAUUUAAAAAAAGAAGUGGAUGAUGUUCUGGGAGGAGCUGCAGCAUGGGAGAAUGUAGACUCAACAGAUGAGCG
RNA transcript from Cryptotermes secundus, 502 nucleotides. It is a transcript of the gene named DNA-directed RNA polymerase III subunit RPC10, with no coding region annotated. The record is from RefSeq and is a predicted model, not a curated record. The transcript has 3 exons. Lineage: Eukaryota; Metazoa; Arthropoda; Insecta; Blattodea; Kalotermitidae.